CCUUAGCAAGCACCGGCUAACUCCGUGCCAGCAGCCGCGGUAAUACGGAGGGUGCAAACGUUGCUCGGAAUCAUUGGGCGUAAAGCGCACGUAGGCGGCGAAGCAAGUCGGGUGUGAAAGCCCUGGGCUCAACCCAGGAAGUGCAUUCGAAACUAUUUCGCUUGAAUCUCGGAGGGGGUCAGAGAAUUCCCGGUGUAGAGGUGAAAUUCGUAGAUAUCGGGAGGAAUACCAGUGGCGAAGGCGCUGACCUGGACGAAGAUUGACGCUGAGGUGCGAAAGCGCGGGGAGCAAACAGGAUUAGAUACCCUGGUAGUCCGCGCUGUAAACGAUGAGUGCUAGACGGUGGAGGUAUUGACCCCUUCGCUGCCGAAGCUAACGCGUUAAGCACUCCGCCUGGGGAGUACGGUCGCAAGACUAAAACUCAAAGGAAUUGACGGGGGGCC
This 443-nucleotide ribosomal RNA is filed under the name uncultured bacterium. RNAcentral describes it as "bacterial SSU rRNA". It matches the Rfam family "Bacterial small subunit ribosomal RNA", at positions 481 to 922 of the family's 1533-position model. The record is from RNAcentral.